GAGCUUAGACACUGAAGACUGAGGAGCAAAUCCGCUGCUAGGCUGGGAUGAGCAGCCUUCUUUCCUGCCCUUGGAUCAUUUAAGUCUCCUGGAUUUCUGUGAGACUUUGGGAGCCUCCUGGAGUCCAGUAACAACCAAUCUGUAAUUUCCAGCCCAGUGGAAUUAGAGACUGGAAUAGCAGUUCACUAGAGACCCAGGUUUAUGGAUUGAGAGGCAAACCUGCUAGAUAUCCGAACGUCUGCUCUGCACCAGGUCUUGAAGGAAAACCCAGGGCUUGCCCCAUCUCUUGCCACACACCUUACUGCUCAUGGUCACUGCAGGUACUUGACAGCCUGAGAAAUGUGUAGCCGCUUCUCCAUUCUCAGAUCAAUGUCUGCGUAUUGACCAGGGUCAGCACUCAAUGGCUGCCUCCUGAUACAGCAAGCUCUCUGCCUAGCUCCUCUCCCACCAGGCGUCGCAGAGCUGUGAAUUGCAGUUAUCACAAGCAAAAUGAAAUGAGUUUGAGCCUAAGGGGAAUCCAUAAUUGGAGUGCAGGAAUGUUGCAGUUUCACAGCUGGGCCUCAGGCACGAUGGGGCAGAGAAUCUGAAGGCCACCGGAAGUCCACUUGCAAUAAAUACUCAUUAGGUGACUGUCGCAAUUGUAGGUGAGGGAUCUACAGCCAAGAAACGAUUCAGACAAGGCUCCUGCCCUUCAUGAGUUUACAUUCUAGUGGAACAAAGAGACAGCAAUAAUAGGCAAAUCCUGUCAUUUCUGCCAGUGGAAAGUGCCAUGAAGACACUGUAGCAGGACAGCAGGGUAGAGGAGGCAGUGAUGAGAGGUGGGGAGGGGGAUUGCCAUGGGAAGAUACUGCCCUGUGAGUGAGAAAGCCCUGAGGGGACCCGGCUGGGAGGGUCAGCACUGGUGCACAUGGGUAGGAUGGAGGGAGGCAGGAAGAACAGGCCCAGAUCUCAAAGACACCAGCAGAGCAAGAAGUUGACACUUUAUUGCAAAGCUGCUGGGAGACAUUGGAGGGCUUGAAGGAGGGGCGUGACAUGAUUUGCUUCAUGUGGUGAGUGGAUUGUAGGGGAGUGAAGAGGCCAUGCCCUACCCAGACCCUCCUCAGGGCUCACCUGUGCUGCCUGGCACAGAGCAGGAGUGGAAAUACACGUUGGCUGAAUUACUGUCAAAGUCUUAUCUUUUCUCUGUCAAGUCUUAGCUGGCUUGAGACCAUGUAGUUCCCUUCAUCUGGAAAAUGACACCAAAUAUUCUAUAACUAGCUGUUAUCAGACCCGUUUCAGGAGCAGUGCAAAAUACAG
This 1296-nucleotide long non-coding RNA is filed under the name Homo sapiens (human). RNAcentral describes it as "HSALNT0202094". Lineage: Eukaryota; Metazoa; Chordata; Mammalia; Primates; Hominidae. The record is from RNAcentral.